UACCUUCGAUCGUAGAACGACGAUAACAACUAUUGCUAUUUUUUCGCUUUCUGGUGUCCGUCUCCUCUAUUGCACCUCGUCGUUGGAUCGGGACUCCACGGGCGGGUAGUGAUGGCACAACCGGUGGGCUGGCCGAUGGUGGCAGAUGCCGCGGCGAGACGGGCGGAAUGCGCAGUGGCAGCAGCAGCCGGGGUUCGGGCAGACGGUGGCGGGGAUCUUGCUGAUGGCGCUGCUCUCGUACUUCGCCAUGAAGUUCUUUGGCCCCAAGAGGCCCGCGGAGCUGUUCCAGCUCAUCUCCAAUCUCUUCCACAAGGGCGACUCGUUGGACAUGUGGGUUUAUCUCUCUGAGAACGAGAAGCUUAAGGAUUUUGGUGUUGAAGAAUGAUAAUCAUGUUGAAGCCAAGGAUGAGGGCCCUGUAGAUUGGGUUUCAUAUUGGAAACCAAAUAUCACAAUAAACUUUGUUGAUAAUUUUACAAGGUAACAUUCCCUCCAAAGAAAAAGAAAAAAAAGGAGUUGACCGACAAGACUUUGCUUCUGGAUACUUGUUAACAAUACGUACAAGUAUGACAGCUGUAGACUCUUUAUUUUAAAUUAAGCCAUAAAAGAUUGUGACAGUUUCCUUUUUUUGCAUGCUAAAGUUGUCUGGCUGCUGUCUGAUUCUUGAUGCCCCUGAUCUGUAUAUAUAUUUUGGAAGUCCUUUUUGUAUUAUAAAUCAAAGAUCAAGUUUAUUUGCUGCCAUUAUUUGACCUUUGACCUUUAUUUGUCUUGAUGCUGUCUUUAACAUCCCUUAAUUAUCAUACUUUUAUACCAAAAAUUUGUGGUGUUGUAGGAUGCAUCUGGUCUGGGAACUAGAAAAGAUUUCAUAUUUCCCAUUUCUUUUAAGUGUUACAAGCCCUUUUGUCAGAUUCUGUAGAAAAUUGGAACGAGCCUAAAACCUUUCUUGCUUGAGGAUGGCUCAUAUAGAUAUUGGUUGAUGUGUGAGUUAAGUCAAGAUAGACUGUGGUGUUUGUUGGAACUACUAGCUAUAUGUGAGAAUGAUUGCUGGAAAAUGAUGAUUUCUUGUAGAACGACAAGAAUCAAUGAAUCAAGAGGUGAUACUUGGGGGAGUGGGGUGGAUCUCAGGUAAAAGGUGGUCCACCUUUACCUUUCUUCUUUCAAGGUGAGACACCAAACCUAGCAACAUAGGCCACAAGCCUCGCAAGGCUGUCCUAUACCACAAUUAGGCUACAAGAGACAUUCAAGUCAAUUUAAACCCACAAACCUACCAAAGUGAAUCAUCCAUCAUGAGUUGAGAAAAUGCAUACUUUUCAUAGGAUGGGAUUUAACUCCAAACUUUCCACUAGGGAGAGAGAUGCUAAUCAUUGAAGGCAAUGGAUGUGGCAUACCUGCUACCUUCUUAUAAGACUGGAUAUGGGUAGUGUAGUAAGAAUGAAUUUCUAAUGAGGUCUUGAUGUGAAGAACUAUUCAUUGGAAGAUGCCAAAGAAAUAGGUCGUCUGGAAUACUUAACCUUAUAAAAAAUAUGUACAAAUUGGUAUGUUUAGGAUGUCAAAUCAAGGAUAGGUAUGUAGGUUGUGCUGGGUGGGAAGGGACAAACAUGGUGCACUGGUUAUGGCAUGUCAUGUGUCAAUGUGACUGUCCCUACCAUGUCUACCUACUGUCACUGCCCUGUACCACCACAAUCAUGCUGGCUGAAGGUGAUGCAUCUGUGAAUGUUUGCUAAUUGGAGAAUUAUUUUAUGCAAGCUCAUAAGCUGCAAUUCAAUGGGAAAUAUCUCACACAAACAAUGUCUCUAAGCAUGAAGGGAGUUCCUGUGUUUGAAGGUGAACAUAGAAUACAUUUUUAUGUGUUAUGGUGUGGCUGCUCCAUCCCAAAUUUGUCCACUUCGAGUUUGAUAAUAAAUAAAUGGUCAACUUGACCGACAUUGCAUCAUUAUUGAAGAUAUGCUAUAUGAUGUCAUUUAAAAAUAUUGGGUUCUUUAUGUGUAUGCAACAUAGAUGUAACAAACAUUUAACGUAGUGCAAGUGAUGGUGAGUAGAGUUUAGAUGUCAUCGUUGUCAUUUUUCAGCUGGCAUGCAUUUAUUGCUAGAACUUGCAUACUAUUAAAAUUAAUUUGUCAAUUAAAAUUCAUUCUUACUGAGAAUUUGUGCAUUUAAGGCUUGUUUAGUGCUAUUUGUGUGCCGAAGCUAAGUUAUUUAUACUUGCUGAUAAAGCUUCAUGUUGUGACAGUAUAUGCUUGACAAUUGAUGAUAUUCAUUUGCUGUUUUGUUGUCUUCUCUCUUCUGUAAUAUACAUUGGUUCUGUUUUUCAUGCCUUACUGCCAUAAGUCUGCUGUUUGUUACUGCAUUCAGAGUAUAAUGCUUCAAGCAUCAAGUAUGAUAUUUGAUCAAUUGAACAUAAGCAUUCAUUUUUGUCCUUAUUGCUGAAUUGUAGCAUAAGUUUAGAUGACGUUGCACUGUCUUGAGAUGUUGGGAGAGAUUUAAGAUGGCCAUCAUUUAUCUUACCUUUGCUGGUUCUAGCUUUAGUUCUGAACUCCUGGAGUUUGGGACAUCAGUAUGUGAUUUGCACCAGUAAUGAGGUGUGGCAAGCUUGAUUCUGGAUGAAAAGGUUUCAUCUCUCUGCAGUGGGAGGAAAAAGAUACGUCAUGCUUACAGCAGUAUGCCAUUGCUUUUGAUGAGAAAGCGCUGCACCAGUUCAGGUGAGAGUGGAAGAUCAAGUCACUGCAAUCUUUGCAGGCUGAAAUAUAACCAUCCCUGCUACUGCAGAUGCAAUCACUGCAAGUCCAACCUCUGGUGGCUGGGAGCUACUUCUUUAUGAUAUGAACUUGAUCUGCUGCAGGGCACAGUAUUCCACUGCUGGAUAAAAAUUUCUCUCUGAGUUUCACAUUGCUAUAAACUUGCCUCAGUUAUUUAGCAUUGGAGCUUUAGCUUCUAUCUUCACUUGUGGCAGUGACCAACAUAUCAGGAUAAAUGGAUCCAAGUGACUGACAUGUGGUGUGCUUUUUCUUUCACUUGCCACCUCAUGAUAUACAUAUAUAUAUAUGUGAAUAACACAGUGGAACUGAGAUAUCAAUGCGCUUGUUGGUGAAGU
Musa acuminata subsp. malaccensis (wild Malaysian banana) is the source of this 3089-nucleotide non-coding RNA. The record is from RefSeq and is a predicted model, not a curated record. NCBI's taxonomy places the organism in Eukaryota, Viridiplantae, Streptophyta, Magnoliopsida, Zingiberales, Musaceae.